GACGAACGCUGGCGGCGUGCUUAACACACGCAAGUCGAACGGUGAAGCCCUUCGGGGUGGAUCAGUGGCGAACGGGUGAGUAACACGUGAGCAACCUGCCCCUGGCCCUGGGACAACCACUGGAUACGGUGGCUAAUACCGGAUACGACCCGCCUCGGCAUCGAGUGUGGGUGGAAAGUUUUUCGGCUGGGGAUGGGCUCGCGGCCUAUCAGCUUGUUGGUGAGGUGAAGGCUCACCAAGGCGACGACGGGUAGCCGGCCUGAGAGGGCGACCGGCCACACUGGGACUGAGACACGGCCCAGACUCCUACGGGAGGCAGCAGUGGGGAAUAUUGCACAAUGGGCGAAAGCCUGAUGCAGCGACGCCGCGUGAGGGAUGACGGCCUUCGGGUUGUAAACCUCUUUCAGCUCCGAAGAAGCGAAAGUGACGGUAGGAGCAGAAGAAGCACCGGCUAACUACGUG
Molecule: ribosomal RNA, 462 nt
Filed under: uncultured bacterium
Lineage: Bacteria
Description: partial 16S ribosomal RNA
Rfam family: Bacterial small subunit ribosomal RNA
Source: RNAcentral